This 454-nucleotide ribosomal RNA is filed under the name uncultured bacterium. RNAcentral's name for it is "partial 16S ribosomal RNA". It matches the Rfam family "Bacterial small subunit ribosomal RNA", at positions 28 to 507 of the family's 1533-position model. The record is from RNAcentral.
GAUGAACGCUGACAGAAUGCUUAACACAUGCAAGUCAACUUGAACUUCGGUUUGGGUGGCGGCCGGGUGAGUAACGCGUAAAGAACUUGCCUCACAGAUAGGGACAACAUUUGGAAACGAAUGCUAAUACCUGAUAUUAUGAUUAUAUGGCAUCGUAUAAUUAUGAAAGCUAUAUGCGCUGUGAGAGAGCUUUGCGUCCCAUUAGCUAGUUGGAGAGGUAACGGCUCACCAAGGCGAUGAUGGGUAGCCGGCCUGAGAGGGUGAUCGGCCACAAGGGGACUGAGACACGGCCCUUACGCAUACGGGAGGCAGCAGUGGGGACUAUUGGACAAUGGACCAAGAGUCUGAUCCAGCAAUUCUGUGUGCACGAUGAAGUUUUUCGGAAUGUAAAGUGCUUUCAGUUGGGAAGAAAAAAAUGACGGUACCAACAGAAGAAGUGACGGCUAAAUACGUG